AUGAACGCUGGCGGCGUGCCUAAUACAUGCAAGUCGAGCGAACAGACGAGGAGCUUGCUCCUCUGACGUUAGCGGCGGACGGGUGAGUAACACGUGGAUAACCUACCUAUAAGACUGGGAUAACUUCGGGGAACCGGAGCUAAUACCGGAUAAUAUAUUGAACCGCAUGGUUCAAUAGUGAAGGACGGUUUUGCUGUCACUUAUAGAUGGAUCCGCGCCGCAUUAGCUAGUUGGUAAGGUAACGGCUUACCAAGGCAACGAUGCGUAGCCGACCUGAGAGGGUGAUCGGCCACACUGGAACUGAGACACGGUCCAGACUCCUACGGGAGGCAGCAGUAGGGAAUCUUCCGCAAUGGGCGAAAGCCUGACGGAGCAACGCCGCGUGAGUGAUGAAGGUCUUCGGAUCGUAAAACUCUGUUAUUAGGGAAGAACAAAUGUGUAAGUAACUAUGCACGUCUUGACGGUACCUAAUCAGAAAGCCACGGCUAACUACGUG
This 496-nucleotide ribosomal RNA is filed under the name uncultured bacterium. Its description in RNAcentral is "partial 16S ribosomal RNA". It matches the Rfam family "Bacterial small subunit ribosomal RNA", at positions 29 to 507 of the family's 1533-position model. The record is from RNAcentral.